GCGCUUCAUAAUUUGCACUGCGUGUUUUUUGGCAUCUGCUAAACCAACGUUGGGUUCGGCGGACUAAAAAUGCUACACUGACGCGUUAAAACUAUUUUAGCGUGUGAAAUUUUUAUGCGCCCGUUGGAGAUGCUUUGAAGGGAGAUGCUCUUAAGAGAUAGAACCGGUCGGUUUGGGAUCGAUACGCACUCAGGAUACUUGUUCUCUAGAAGAACUGAAUGACACAUAAAAGCGCGCCGCCGCCCAAGUCUCCUCCUCUAUUGCAGUUGCAGCCUCCGGCUGGAUCCUCAGCCCACCGCCGCUUCGAUCCGGAAGCCAAUUUCUCUCCUUCUUCUGCGUUGGAGGGAUGCAGAUGCAGCGCUUGCAGGAACUAAAAUCAGAAUUACCUCCGGCGGGCAGUGGCUGCAGGUUCACAGCGAAUUCUUGGGAAGAUUACGCGGACGGACAUCCUCUGGUGCGGCACGGCCAUCAUCCCUCGCCUCCGUGGCGGCGCGACCUUCACCCCUCACCGCGGCCCCUCCUUGCUCUCCAAUGGACGUUGUGCGAGGCCCUGCUCCCUUUCCUCUCACGGCGGCACGACGCGCUCGACUCCCUCUGUCUCCUCGGUCAGCUCGCCCGUCAAACCCUGCCUCCGUCGAGCGGUGCAGGAGAACGAUCCCACCCGCGCACAAAAACGGCUCGCCCCACCUCUGUCUCUCCUGAAAACUACCUUUGGAACUGUGUAGGCUUCAGACUUGCAUAACAGGUACUUAUCAUAUACGUGUACGUGUCUUGCCUAGUAGCUCACUUUGGAACUGAAAGCUUGGUCAUCUGGAAGGAAGGUUCUACUCAGCUGUUGGACUAGUCAGAGGGAGUUCCUUUCAGUUCUACUCUGCUAAUUUUGCUAGUCUAAUUGAUGAUACCCUGUACACUGAAGCUUCAGUUAGUUUUUUCAGUUACAAGCUAGUCUUGGCUGGACCUAUGCCUUCUGAUAAGGGUGUUAUAUAUUCUGAUUUGAAAUAAAACAAACAACUCUAGCUGCUUUGAAAUUCUGUGUCCCCUUUUUUCUUAGUUUUUUGUAACUUAUAAGUACUUAACAACAUCCUUUAUUAUCAUCUGACAUAUGGAAGUAUUUGUAUUGUUUUUAAAGAUUUGUACCAUUGUCUUGAGCCAAGCAAAGAAGUGCAACAGUGCAUAUAUACUUGGAGACCAUGUACCUCCCUCCCCCAAUCUACAUAUUGUAACUAUUUUUCCCCUUGGUCUAUAUAGCUACCCUCUUCAAGUCUACAUACUAAUUAGCUGUUUUUUCCCUUGGAUACACCUUACCGAAAUAGGACAUUUCACCAUCUUAUGCCUAAUUUGUGUCUUAACCAAGAAAGGAAUUUGAAUGCCAAAUUGGCUUCUUUUUCAUUUUUGAAUUGUAUCACUGUUAGUUAUAAUUUGGUUCUAUUCUCUUACUCCCCAAGCUAGGGAGUUCUGCUUCAAAAUAUCAAGCAUGAAUGGUGCCUUCGUGUCGGGCGCCACUAAAAAAGGUCAGCUGAGUGAAAUUUUUUUAGGAGCAGUUCAUUUUAUGAAAUGAUUUCAUCCACGGGUUAAAAUUGUCAAAUUUGCCGUAUUUGCGACACGUGAAAGGACCAUGUUACUUUACGCCAAAUCACCAAUGCGUAUGAACUGAACUAUUAGUGAGGUUCUUUGUUUUUGGCAGGUGGGAAGGCCCUAUUGCGAAUUGCGAUGCUCUAACCAGGCAGAGGAGUGGGACAUGAUGAGCUUUGUGAAGGGAGAUGCUAGGAACUAAACUAGACAGACCAUCUUUAGUACAAAGUUGUACUAAAGCAACAACAAUUAAUAUGGGUCGGAGGGAGUAACACAAUCUUACUAUUACUUGUUGGAGGCCCCCAACGAAGCAUCUACAUUAAUCCUCAUGAGGCAUGCUAGGAAAAAAAGGCGCUGUGCUCUUUCCGCAGCGUACCGUCCAGCAGACGAGGGUGGUAAACGUGUUCCAGUGCUUCAGCCUUGAGGCGCUCCGCCGUGCUCAACCACCAGUUGGAGAGGCUCCCCGUCCCCAUGUUCUUCAUACCAUGCUGCAGUGAAGGGCAUGCGUGAGAAAUGGCAAGCUACCAGCAGGAAAAAGGGCGGCCAACCUCUUCUCUUGUCAAGCACAUCAGGAUUCAUAGGGGCAGUGGCGGAGCUACAUAGAAAUUUUUGGGCGGGCCAAGGUAAAGAAGAGCACAAUUUUUGGGCGGGAACUUCAAUUCUGACAUGAACAUGUGUGCUUGCAAAUAGGUGCAGGCACGACGGGUACCUCUGAAAAGCACCAAGCUGGUCGGCCAGUAUUUUCUGGAGUGUGUUGGGGAGCUCGAGAAGCAGCCUCUCCAUGGAGCAAAGCCGCGCAACAAGCACCAUGAAAAUAGCAAAAACAUAAUACCAAGUUUCAACACGCAACUUAAUAAAUAAUUGUGCUAACCAGGACGACGCCAUAUUUUCUUUGUUUCUUGAACUCUGUUGGUGUACUUGAGCACAUAUGUGCGUACUUUUACACCCAAUAAAUUAUGGAAAUAAUAAAAACGUUCAUACUGUCACGCUUUUGUGUAACCUCAUGAUAUCUUGACCUUUGUUGGUGUACUUGAGCAUA
Non-coding RNA from Aegilops tauschii subsp. strangulata, 2611 nucleotides. The record is from RefSeq and is a predicted model, not a curated record. Lineage: Eukaryota; Viridiplantae; Streptophyta; Magnoliopsida; Poales; Poaceae.